UACGUAGGGGGCAAGCGUUGUCCGGAUUUACUGGGCGUAAAGAGCGUGUAGGCGGCCAUGCAGGUCCGUUGUGAAAACUCGAGGCUCAACCUCGAGACGCCGAUGGAAACCGCAUGGCUAGAGUCCGGAAGAGGAGAGUGGAAUUCCUGGUGUAGCGGUGAAAUGCGCAGAUAUCAGGAAGAACACCCGUGGCUAAGGCGGCUCUCUAGUACGGUACUGACGCUGAGACGCGAAAGCGUGGGGAGCGAACAGG
This 253-nucleotide ribosomal RNA is filed under the name uncultured bacterium. Its description in RNAcentral is "partial 16S ribosomal RNA". It matches the Rfam family "Bacterial small subunit ribosomal RNA", at positions 524 to 776 of the family's 1533-position model. The record is from RNAcentral.